GGCUCCGUAGCUCAAUUGGAUAGAGCAUCUGACUACGGAUCAGAAGGUUGCAGGUUCGAGUCCUGCCGAGGUCA
Molecule: transfer RNA, 74 nt
Filed under: Saprospiraceae bacterium
Lineage: Bacteria; Pseudomonadati; Bacteroidota; Saprospiria; Saprospirales; Saprospiraceae
Description: tRNA-Arg
Rfam family: tRNA
About the family: Transfer RNA (tRNA) molecules are approximately 80 nucleotides in length. Their secondary structure includes four short double-helical elements and three loops (D, anti-codon, and T loops).
Source: RNAcentral